GACGAACGCUGGCGGCGUGCUUAACACAUGCCAGUCGAACGGAAAGGCCCUGCUUUUGUGGGGUGCUCGAGUGGCGAACGGGUGAGUAACACGUGAGUAACCUGCCCUUGACUUUGGGAUAACUUCAGGAAACUGGGGCUAAUACCGGAUAGGAGCUCCUGCUGCAUGGUGGGGGUUGGAAAGUUUCGGCGGUUGGGGAUGGACUCGCGGCUUAUCAGCUUGUUGGUGGGGUAGUGGCUUACCAAGGCUUUGACGGGUAGCCGGCCUGGGAGGGUGACCGGCCACAUUGGGACUAAGAUACGGACCAGACUGGUACGGGAGGCAGCAGUGGGGAAUAUUGCACAAUGGGCGGAAGCCUGAUGCAGCAACGCCGCGUGCGGGAUGACGGCCUUCGGGUUGUGAACCGCUUUCGCCUGUGACGAAGCGUGAGUGACGGUAAUGGGUAAAGAAGCACCGGCUAACUACGUG
RNAcentral lists this ribosomal RNA (468 nucleotides) under uncultured bacterium. Its description in RNAcentral is "partial 16S ribosomal RNA". It matches the Rfam family "Bacterial small subunit ribosomal RNA", at positions 28 to 507 of the family's 1533-position model. The record is from RNAcentral.